Molecule: ribosomal RNA, 235 nt
Filed under: uncultured bacterium
Lineage: Bacteria
Description: partial 16S ribosomal RNA
Rfam family: Bacterial small subunit ribosomal RNA
Source: RNAcentral
CGGACGGGUGAGUAACGCGUGGGUAACCUGCCUUGUACUGGGGGACAACGGUUAGAAAUGACUGCUAACACCGCAUAAGCGCACAGUAUCGCAUGAUACAGUGUGAAAAACUCCGGUGGUACAAGAUGGACCCGCGUCUGAUUAGCUAGUUGGUAAGGUAACGGCUUACCAAGGCGACGAUCAGUAGCCGACCUGAGAGGGUGACCGGCCACAUUGGGACUGAGACACGGCCCAA